RNAcentral lists this long non-coding RNA (269 nucleotides) under Panax ginseng (ginseng). RNAcentral's name for it is "long non-coding RNA (PGIN_LNC013343)". Lineage: Eukaryota; Viridiplantae; Streptophyta; Magnoliopsida; Apiales; Araliaceae. The record is from RNAcentral.
UGAAGUCAAAGAGGCUUAAAAGUUCAAAACCCAAAAGAAACUUCCAUAUUAUAUAACUACUUGAACCCAUCAUCACAUCAAUAUAUAACAAAAAGAAAAGGCUAAAGGCUAAAGGAUAAAGGAUAAAGGGCAGGACAAAGUCCAAGAAAAUCAAACACAAUCAUCAAACACACCAUUGCUCUUCUGGUUGUUGGUUGUGGUGAUAUUUUCUGCAGAGCUAAUAAGUUGGGUAUGCUUUUUAGAAGAGCCCUUAGAAAGCAUAACUGGGU